This 84-nucleotide transfer RNA is filed under the name Arcanobacterium haemolyticum. RNAcentral's name for it is "tRNA-Tyr(gta)". It matches the Rfam family "tRNA". From Rfam's summary of the family: Transfer RNA (tRNA) molecules are approximately 80 nucleotides in length. RNAcentral also lists the same sequence under 1 other name. Lineage: Bacteria; Bacillati; Actinomycetota; Actinomycetes; Actinomycetales; Actinomycetaceae. The record is from RNAcentral.
GGCAGGUUUGCAGAGCGGCCAAAUGCAUCUGACUGUAAAUCAGACGGGUAACCUUCGGGGGUUCAAAUCCCUCACCUGCCACCA